UACGGAGGGUGCAAACGUUGCUCGGAAUUAUUGGGCGUAAAGCGCACGUAGGCGGCCAAUUAAGUCGGGUGUGAAAGCCCAGGGCUCAACCCUGGAAGUGCACUCGAAACUGAUUGGCUUGAAUAUGGAAGAGGGUUGCGGAAUUCCCGGUGUAGAGGUGAAAUUCGUAGAUAUCGGGAGGAACACCAGUGGCGAAGGCGGCAACCUGGGCCAAUAUUGACGCUGAGGUGCGAAAGCGUGGGGAGCAAACAGG
Molecule: ribosomal RNA, 253 nt
Filed under: uncultured bacterium
Lineage: Bacteria
Description: partial 16S ribosomal RNA
Rfam family: Bacterial small subunit ribosomal RNA
Source: RNAcentral